CAAUAGCGUAUAUUUAAGUUGUUGCAGUUAAAAAGCUCGUAGUUGGAUUUCUGCUGAUCGCUGUCGGUCUGCCGUCAGGUGUGUACUGGCAGUGUUUGGCAUCUAUUCGAGAUUAGGUGUCCACUUGAUUGUGUGCACUCGAUGUCGGAGCUAAUACUUUGAGAAAAUUAGAGUGUUCCACGCAGGCGCGUGCCUUGAAUACUGCAGCAUGGGAUAUUGGAAGGCCGAUUGAGCUUUCUUGUUGGUUCUCGGUUUGAUCGGAAUGAUUAAUAGGGAUAGUUGGGGGCAUUCGUAUUCAACUGUCAGAGGUGAAAUUCUUGGAUUUGUUGAAGACGGACUACUGCGAAAGCAUCUGCCAUGGAUGUUCNCAUUGA
Molecule: ribosomal RNA, 374 nt
Filed under: uncultured eukaryote
Lineage: Eukaryota
Description: partial 18S ribosomal RNA
Rfam family: Eukaryotic small subunit ribosomal RNA
Source: RNAcentral